CAGAUCCACAAAAGAGAAGAGGCUUAAGGUGAAGAUUUGGCCCUAACAUUUUACAGGGCUCCUGACAUUGCUAAAACCUUCAACUCGAAGCCAGUCUCUCCCUUGGCCUCCUUUCUCCAGAAAAUUCAGUAAGAAAGAUUCUUCCUCCUCCUUUUUUUUUUUAGCAAUGAAAAUAUUUAUUCUUCAUCAAAGAAAUGAAGAGUGAGUUAGUGUAUAUUCAAAUUUUUAUACUGAGUUGAUUUAAUCCAAAUUAGAAUUUUUGGAAGAAGACAGUACUAAUUCCAACACUUUGAGUAUUAAAACCAAUAAGCUUCCAACAUGCAUAAUUCAUAUUCAGGGAGAGCUUUUCUUAGCUUCAUAAUUAUUACUUCUUUCCAUGGCUGAAAUUGCUGGCAUUUGUUUUGUGGCCCUCUUGGUUUAUUUAAUCUCUUUAUCUAUGAAAUGGAAGCUCAGGGAGACUUCUUAGUUUUCCUCUUUCACUCCAGGUUUAAACAUUGAAAAUAUCCAAUUCCUGGUUUGAAAAUGAUGGGCUGCCAACCCAUAGGUGCUGGAGGGCGUUCUCAAGCCUUCGUGUCCCCAGCCCUAACACUUCAAGUGCCAGCCUCAUAUGAAGCUGAAAGACUGCAACCUCACCUGCUUUUAGUGAGAAUUCUGAUCUACUGGUUUCCUGUCGGAUUCCUGCUGGAGGUGCUUAGCUGCUUCUGCCACUUUCACUGGAGAUGACAAGAGCAACCUCACACCUGUAUAUUUGGCCAUUUUGGAUUAUAAUUUCCAAAAAUCCAGAAGCCAGCUUCCUCAGAAUCAAGGGCAUGGUGGCCAUCGUCUAUUGAGUAAUUGUUCUCAAUUCAUCUACAGUGUUACCACUAUCUAGUCCAAGGGUGAGCCCUCCAGUAACCUGGUGUUGUGGGAUAUUUUCCCUUUGGAAAUUCUUUCUUUUAACAUCUGCACUGUAGUAUAUCUCAAAUUGCUGAUUUAUCCUGGCUAAUUUGGAGAAAUGUUUUCUUUCCUCCAAACCCUGUCACCCACCUCACAGAAUGGGGAUUCACAAAAAGCUUCUCAAACCUACUAGCAGUCAGAGAAAUGCAAAUGAGUAGGUAGGGAGACAUGAGCCCACGAUCAUUUCCCUAAGAUGGCAAACAUUUGGGAGUUAGUGUUGCAGUUACUUCUUGCCAAGUAGCGAAUUUACCCAACACUUAGCAACAAUGCCUUAAGAUGGUUGGACUCUAAUACAGCAAGGAGCAGCCGAGAGGCACACCCUUACAUUUUUCUGAUCUCUCAGAAAACCGUCUUAAGGGCUCACUCAGGACCAAAUUUUUUCUGAUGAUAUUCUAGAUUUCAUCUUUGCAUUUUCUUAUUUUGAGGACCUUUGCUUCCUAGAAAGGCUACUCUCAGAUUUUCUUUAAAUUUUGAUAUAAAAUAAAAUAGUUUCUUCU
RNAcentral lists this long non-coding RNA (1433 nucleotides) under Marmota monax (woodchuck). The record is from RNAcentral. Lineage: Eukaryota; Metazoa; Chordata; Mammalia; Rodentia; Sciuridae.